ACAAGGUUCCUGGCGGUGAGGACAAGGUUCCUUCCUGUGAGGACAAGGUUCCUGGCUGUGAGGACAAGGUUCCUGGCUGUGAGGACAAGGUUCCUGGCUGUGAGCACAAGGUUCCUGGCUGUGAGCACAAGGUUCCUGCCGGUGAGGACAAGGUUCCUGGCGGUGUGGAAUAGGUUCCUGCCGGUGACGACAAGGUUCCUGGCGGUGAGGACAAGGUUCCUGGCGGUGUGGACAAGGUUCCUGUCGGUGAGGACAAGGUUCCUGCCGGUGAGGACAAGGUUCCUGGCGGUGAGGACAAGGUUCCUGGCUGUGAGGACAAGGUUCCUGGCGGUGAGGACAAG
Paramuricea clavata is the source of this 341-nucleotide non-coding RNA. The record is from the annotation of a GenBank genome assembly. NCBI's taxonomy places the organism in Eukaryota, Metazoa, Cnidaria, Anthozoa, Malacalcyonacea, Plexauridae.